RNAcentral lists this long non-coding RNA (713 nucleotides) under Homo sapiens (human). RNAcentral's name for it is "HSALNT0362415". The record is from RNAcentral. Lineage: Eukaryota; Metazoa; Chordata; Mammalia; Primates; Hominidae.
AUGAGGAAACUGUAUGAACACUCUCCUAAGAUAAGACAGUAGUUGUGAUACACAAGGAUUUGAACAUAGCCAAUCCUACUCAGGUAAAAAGUCAAUUAACCACUGGUGGGCAAUAUCCAAAAUUGAUAGCAGAAACAGAAAAAUAAAAGACUACUCAGCAAAGACAAGUAGAGUUUCUGGAGGCUGGGAUGUCCAAGGUCAAGAUGCUGACAGAUUGAUUGUCCCUGGAAAGCCUGCUUCAUAGAUGACCAUCUUCUCCGUGUGUUCUCCCUGUGUUCUCAGGAGUGGGGUUACCUUUCUGGUGCCUCUUUUUCAUAAGGACACUAUUCCCGUUCCUGAGGGCUCCAUUCUCAUAACACAACAUCCAGAAGGUCCUACAUUCUAAUAUCAUCAUACUGCAGAUUGGCAUGGUGUGGAUGGAAGUGAAGAAAAAUGUUCCAGGUUGCUUGUGCAAGACUUUCAAAGUGAAAAAAAUUUGGCCUUUUCUUUGGAGAAGAAAAAGUGUUAUGUCUGCCUCGAAUACAGAUAUUCCUAUUUAUAUGAAAAUAAAUAACAGGGAACUUAACCUUCUACUUGUCAUAAUCUACUGAGUACAUCCAUUGCCAGGGAAUUGUACAGCACAUUUUAUGGUGUUUCAGCUUUGAAGCUAUGGGACAAUAAUAACACGAAGGCUGGCCACUUUGUUUCAUGCCUCCUUGACCCGUGUGUUCCAU